Molecule: ribosomal RNA, 334 nt
Filed under: uncultured Oscillibacter sp.
Lineage: Bacteria; Bacillati; Bacillota; Clostridia; Eubacteriales; Oscillospiraceae
Description: bacterial SSU rRNA
Rfam family: Bacterial small subunit ribosomal RNA
Source: RNAcentral
UGGGGAAUAUUGGGGCAAUGGACGCAAGUCUGACCCAGCAACGCCGCGUGAAGGAAGAAGGCUUUCGGGUUGUAAACUUCUUUUAAGGGGGAACAGUAGAAGAGGGUACCCCUUGAAUAAGCCACGGCUAACUACGUGCCAGCAGCCGCGGUAAUACGUAGGUGGCAAGCGUUGUCCGGAUUUACUGGGUGUAAAGGGCGUGCAGCCGGAGAGACAAGUCAGAUGUGAAAUCCGCGGGCUUAAACCCGCGAACUGCAUUUGAAACUGUUUCCCUUGAGUAUCGGAGAGGUAAUCGGAAUUCCUAGUGUAGCGGUGAAAUGCGUAGAUAUUAGGA